UGCAUCAGAAUCAUCUUCCUGAUUCACAUUGUCAUAAUUAUUCUCAGUAACCGUCUCAGAUUCGAUAUUCUGAUCUAGUCUAGAACCUGGAUAGUAGCCAUCAUCGGUUGAAAUGUGUCUGCCUCCAAAAGUCGAUCCAGUCUGUCGAGAUCAGUGAGGGGGUGUGUUCGGAGCUUUAAAGCAUCAGGUAUUUCCAAAAUUAAAAAUUUAUAUUAAUUUAUCAUACUUUUAAAAUAAAAACUGACGGGCUAUGAUAUUCAAAGAUUACAUGAAUACAAU
RNAcentral lists this long non-coding RNA (279 nucleotides) under Brassica napus (rape). RNAcentral's name for it is "long non-coding RNA (BNAP_LNC025628)". The record is from RNAcentral. Lineage: Eukaryota; Viridiplantae; Streptophyta; Magnoliopsida; Brassicales; Brassicaceae.